CGCGAUGGCUCAUUAAAUCAGUUAUGGUUCACUCGAUCGUACAGUUUACAUGGAUAACUGUGGUAAUUCUAGAGCUAAUACAUGCAUUCAGCCCGUACCCUCGUGGUGCGGGCGCAGUUAUUUGCCCAAGACCAUUCCGGCCCUCGGGUCGGUUAAUUGGUGACUCUGAAUAACCGAAGCGGAGCGCGUGGUCUCGUACCGGCGCCAGAUCGUUCAAGUGUCUGACUUAUCAGCUUGUAGUUAGGUUAUGUUCCUAACUAGGCGGUAACGGGUAACGGGUAGUCAGGGCUAGACACCGGAGA
RNAcentral lists this ribosomal RNA (302 nucleotides) under Diphascon sp. F6460. RNAcentral describes it as "SSU rRNA". It matches the Rfam family "Eukaryotic small subunit ribosomal RNA", at positions 93 to 388 of the family's 1831-position model. Lineage: Eukaryota; Metazoa; Tardigrada; Eutardigrada; Parachela; Hypsibiidae. The record is from RNAcentral.